RNAcentral lists this ribosomal RNA (443 nucleotides) under uncultured Streptococcus sp. RNAcentral describes it as "bacterial SSU rRNA". It matches the Rfam family "Bacterial small subunit ribosomal RNA", at positions 938 to 1382 of the family's 1533-position model. Lineage: Bacteria; Bacillati; Bacillota; Bacilli; Lactobacillales; Streptococcaceae. The record is from RNAcentral.
CAUGUGGUUUAAUUCGAAGCAACGCGAAGAACCUUACCAGGUCUUGACAUCCCGAUGCUAUUUCUAGAGAUAGAAAGUUACUUCGGUACAUCGGUGACAGGUGGUGCAUGGUUGUCGUCAGCUCGUGUCGUGAGAUGUUGGGUUAAGUCCCGCAACGAGCGCAACCCCUAUUGUUAGUUGCCAUCAUUCAGUUGGGCACUCUAGCGAGACUGCCGGUAAUAAACCGGAGGAAGGUGGGGAUGACGUCAAAUCAUCAUGCCCCUUAUGACCUGGGCUACACACGUGCUACAAUGGUUGGUACAACGAGUUGCGAGUCGGUGACGGCGAGCUAAUCUCUUAAAGCCAAUCUCAGUUCGGAUUGUAGGCUGCAACUCGCCUACAUGAAGUCGGAAUCGCUAGUAAUCGCGGAUCAGCACGCCGCGGUGAAUACGUUCCCGGGCCUU